GGGCGGGGCUGUGCAGUCCCUCGAAUUGCGCCAGAGACUCGCCUGGAGGAAGGUUCCCGUGCAGCGUCUGUGAGGCCGGGAUACGCUGUUUGCGAGCGCCCAUUACCGUGAAACUGACCAGACAUCCUGGGCAGGUUCUCCCUGGACAUAGGUGGAUUUAUACUAAUACAGUUUCACAGCAACCCUGUGGAGGAUAUGAGAGCAGAAGUUUCUAGAACAUACAGAUAACUGUAUGUCAGAACACAGACUUCCUGUUCAGUUAUCCACCUGGCUUCAGAUUUUUAGUUCCAUGACCGACAGAAAUGUUUAGCAAAAGAGAGCAGUUGUUCGCAAACUUUUGUACUGGUGACCCCUUUCACAUAACAAGCCUCUGAGUGUGAUGCCCCCAUAUCAAUUAAAAACACUUUUUUAUAUAUUUAUCACCAUUAUAAAUGCUGGAGACAAAGCGGGGUUUGGGGUGGAGGCUGACAGCUCGCGACCCCCCAGGUAUAACCUCGCAACCCCCUGAGGGGUUCCAACCACCAGUUUGAGAGCCCCUGAGUUAGAGGUUUCUGCUGCAGUGAUCAGCUAAUGAAGCAGAGGUUAUGGGUAGUCUAGAGCCUCCCAGGCAUCCCUUCUGCAACUACUUGUCAGAAACUUUUGCUGUGGAAGUGGUUGCCACCCCACCCUUACUGUGGGCUCCCAUAAUCUAUUUUUAUUGUAUUUUUAAUUUUAUAUAUUGCUCCUCUUGUAGAUGACAAAUAGAAACUUCCUAGGAAAACAGUCAGAAAAUCAGUCAUAAUAAUUCUGGCAAUGGUGCUUAUAAGGCAAUAAUUAACAUCCUUGACUCAAUCCAAUUUCUGUUUUGUUUUUUAUAUAUAUAAUAGGCCAACAAAUUUAAUUUAAUAUAAUUCUAAGUAGGCAGUAUUUUCUGUGUCUGUGAGAUAUUGUUACAGAUUCUUUUUGUGUUACUUGUCAGAAGAGCUCCCAUGAGAGCUGAGAAAUAAAAACCCUAGAUUUAAAGAGCCCCCUUCACUUCCAACUGAUUGGACAGACUGACAUAGCAUUUAACUGCAGUUAUUACUUUUCCUUAAAGUGAGGCAAUAAGGCUCUUGUACAAAGUUACAGUCAAUCUCUCCUCUCUUCCCUGCUACAAAAAAAGACUAAGGGUGAAAUCCUUUCCACAAGGUAGUCAAGGGGAGUUUUACUAUUGACUUCACGGGAGCCAGGAUUUCAAUUCAUGUCUGUUUAAUGACAACUCGACUUCUGUUAGCUAAGGGAGCAUUUGUUCUGCACUAUGUUUUCCUAACCACUGUAGUUUGUGGGCUUAGUGGUUCAUAGAGAGCUGGCUGCUGCUAUGGUGCUGGCUCCUCUUGUUUUCUUUCUUAAUAUUACUUUUGCAUGUGAUCAGUUACUGUAUUUUAUUGUGAGGGAAUAUGUGUAAAGAAGCCUAUGUGAUCAUGAAUGGGCAGGGAGGUGUCCUGUGAGACAAUCUCACUACUACAAUGUAUGGUUCAUUCUCUGAAAAAGUUUGAGAACCUCAGUUUGACACCACUAAACAUGUAUUUAAAUAUCAUUUAAAUUAACAUGAUUUUUGAGAAGUCCUUCCAAAAUAAAACCAGAAUCUUUCUUC
Molecule: long non-coding RNA, 1612 nt
Organism: Malaclemys terrapin pileata
Lineage: Eukaryota; Metazoa; Chordata; Testudines; Emydidae
Exons: 3
Source: RefSeq, a predicted model, not a curated record